ACGGUGUAUUGCGACAGGUCGAUCACCGCGGCGCCCGGAGGGAUGGAGAGAUUGGUCCCGACGGCGCCGACUCGAUCGCCGCGCACCAGGAUAACCGCGUUCUUGACCGGUGACCCGCCACCGCCGUCGAUGAGAGAGCCGGCCCGGAUCGCGGUGAGCGGCUCCGAUUGCUGGACGGCGAUGGCGAGUGGCAGGCU
This 197-nucleotide unclassified non-coding RNA is filed under the name uncultured Ascomycota. RNAcentral describes it as "sequence contains ITS1". Lineage: Eukaryota; Fungi; Ascomycota. The record is from RNAcentral.